Molecule: transfer RNA, 64 nt
Filed under: Cavia porcellus (domestic guinea pig)
Lineage: Eukaryota; Metazoa; Chordata; Mammalia; Rodentia; Caviidae
Rfam family: tRNA
About the family: Transfer RNA (tRNA) molecules are approximately 80 nucleotides in length.
Source: Rfam by way of RNAcentral
AGGGAUUUAGCUUAGUGGCAUAAGCGCCUGCCUGGCAAGCAUGAGGCUAUGAGUUCGAUCCCUG